RNAcentral lists this ribosomal RNA (326 nucleotides) under uncultured eukaryote. Its description in RNAcentral is "partial 18S ribosomal RNA". It matches the Rfam family "Eukaryotic small subunit ribosomal RNA", at positions 1470 to 1796 of the family's 1831-position model. The record is from RNAcentral.
CCCUUAGAUGUUCUGGGCCGCACACGCGCUACACUGAAGGAGGCAGCGUGUACUCCUGGAUCGAAAGAUUUGGGUAACCCGCGAAUCUCCUUCGUGCUAGGGAUUGAGGUUUGCAAUUAUCCUUCAUGAACGAGGAAUUCCCAGUAGUGCAAGUCAUAAGCUUGCGCUGACUACGUCCCUGCCCUUUGUACACACCGCCCGUCGCUACUACCGAUUGAAUGAUUUAGUGAGGACUUCGGACUGGGACCGAUGCGGCUUUCGGGCCGCGUCGGUAUUCUGGAAAGAUGUCCAAACUGUAUCAUUUAGAGGAAGUAAAAGUCGUAACA